UCAUUGUAUAUUAGGGAGACUUUAUUCUUAAUAGAUUCAUAUGUUCUUAAUUAUAUUAGUCAUUGUCUACUUUGAUUAUAUGUCUAGGAUAGUUGGUUUGAUCUUAUUAAUUUCAUAUAAAUGCUCGUAUAGCGUUUACCUAAUCGAUUGUUGGGUAGUUGAUAGACAAUAUGUAGAUGUGGUGUCUAGAUAUCUUGUUUGUCUGCGAGUGCCCCCUGACGUGCCAGGUCGUGUGGUAGUCCAUGUAGAUGACAACUGUGUUGGUUUCUCUAUAGUCCACCCUCCGUACGUAGGGCUAGCAUGUUCGCGGUCGCGAAGGAGGUGACGGUUGCGUCUUAAAACCCUC
RNAcentral lists this long non-coding RNA (346 nucleotides) under Sorghum bicolor (sorghum). Its description in RNAcentral is "long non-coding RNA (SBIC_LNC008162)". Lineage: Eukaryota; Viridiplantae; Streptophyta; Magnoliopsida; Poales; Poaceae. The record is from RNAcentral.